This 492-nucleotide ribosomal RNA is filed under the name uncultured Sphingobacteriales bacterium. RNAcentral's name for it is "bacterial SSU rRNA". It matches the Rfam family "Bacterial small subunit ribosomal RNA", at positions 888 to 1382 of the family's 1533-position model. Lineage: Bacteria; Pseudomonadati; Bacteroidota; Sphingobacteriia; Sphingobacteriales. The record is from RNAcentral.
GCCGCUCAGAAACUCAAAGGAAUUGACGGGGGCCCGCACAAGCGGUGGAGCAUGUGGUUUAAUUCGAUGAUACGCGAGGAACCUUACCUGGGCUCAAAUGUAUGUUGACGUAUUCUGAAAGGGAUACUUCUUCGGACAAUAUACAAGGUGCUGCAUGGUUGUCGUCAGCUCGUGCCGUGAGGUGUCGGGUUAAGUCCCAUAACGAGCGCAACCCCUAUCAUUAGUUGCCAUCAGGUCAAGCUGGGGACUCUAAUGAAACUGCCUACGCAAGUAGUGAGGAAGGUGGGGAUGACGUCAAAUCAGCACGGCCCUUACGUCCAGGGCUACACACGUGCUACAAUGGCCGGUACAAAGGGCAGCUACCUGGUGACAGGAUGCUAAUCUCCAAAGUCGGUCUCAGUUCGGAUCGGAGUCUGCAACCCGACUCCGUGAAGUUGGAUUCGCUAGUAAUCGCGCAUCAGCCAUGGCGCGGUGAAUACGUUCCCGGGCCUU